GCUAACGAUGCGGGUUAUAACGAAGUUGCAGCUCUGAAUAACAUUAUCAUACUCUAUCCGAGAACAUCAGUGAAUCUUAUUACAAAUCCUCAGGGUUGCUGGGACUGGUGGGGAUUCACCAGCGAGUAUUAUGCAACAGCCAAUGGCGAGCAGAUCAAAGCAGUCAUGAGGAUGUUGGAUAGAAUAGUUUCGUAAACAAAAGAUGAAAUAUUCAUUUCCUAGGAAUGAACUGCUUGUACUUUAAUUUACUAAUUGAGGCAAUAAAC
Non-coding RNA from Styela clava, 266 nucleotides. The record is from RefSeq and is a predicted model, not a curated record. NCBI's taxonomy places the organism in Eukaryota, Metazoa, Chordata, Ascidiacea, Stolidobranchia, Styelidae.